GAUGAACGCUGGCGGCGUGCCUAAUACAUGCAAGUCGAGCGAACAGACGAGGAGCUUGCUCCUCUGACGUUAGCGGCGGACGGGUGAGUAACACGUGGAUAACCUACCUAUAAGACUGGGAUAACUUCGGGAAACCGGAGCUACUACCGGAUAAUAUAUUGAACCGCAUGGUUCAAUAGUGAAAGACGGUUUUGCUGUCACUUAUAGAUGGAUCCGCGCCGCAUUAGCUAGUUGGUAAGGUAACGGCUUACCAAGGCAACGAUGCGUAGCCGACCUGAGAGGGUGAUCGGCCACACUGGAACUGAGACACGGUCCAGACUCCUACGGGAGGCAGCAGUAGGGAAUCUUCCGCAAUGGGCGAAAGCCUGACGGAGCAACGCCGCGUGAGUGAUGAAGGUCUUCGGAUCGUGAAACUCUGUUAUUAGGGAAGAACAAAUGUGUAAGUAACUAUGCACGUCUUGACGGUACCUAAUCAGAAAGCCACGGCUAACUACGUG
RNAcentral lists this ribosomal RNA (497 nucleotides) under uncultured bacterium. Its description in RNAcentral is "partial 16S ribosomal RNA". It matches the Rfam family "Bacterial small subunit ribosomal RNA", at positions 28 to 507 of the family's 1533-position model. The record is from RNAcentral.